GGAUGUGGCUCAGUGGUAGAGCGUUUGCUUAGCAAGUGUGAGGCCCUGGGUUCGAUCCUCAACACCA
This 67-nucleotide transfer RNA is filed under the name Marmota monax (woodchuck). Its description in RNAcentral is "tRNA.Ala". Lineage: Eukaryota; Metazoa; Chordata; Mammalia; Rodentia; Sciuridae. The record is from RNAcentral.